CACCGGGGGAGCAGGAGCCCCUGGAGUCCGUGGGAGGGACCCAGUGGGAGAAGUUCGUAGAGGACUGUCUCCCGUGGGAGGGAGCCCAGGCUGGAGCCGGGGAGGAGCGUGAGGAGUCCUGCCUCGAGGAGGAAGGAGCAGCAGAAAAAGGGGUGAUGGACUGAGCGCACCCCCAUCCCUGCCCCGCUGCAGGGGAGGAGGGAGAGAACUUGGGAGUGAAGCUGAGCCCGAGAAGAAGGGAGGGGUGGGGGAAAAGUGUUUCAAAAUUGAGCUUUUAUUUCUCGUUAUCCUCCUCUGAUUUGACUGGUAAUAAAUUGAUUUCCCCAAGUCGAGUCUGUUUUGCCUGCGAUGGUGGCUGGUGAAUGAUCUCUCCCUGUCCUCAUCUCCACUCACCAGCCUUUGGUGGCAUUUUUCUGCCUCUGCCCAGCUGAGGAGGGCAGUGACAGAGCAGCUCUGGGGGCACUCAGCGUCCAGCAAGGGUCAGCACACCACAAUGACUGAUGCUGUCUUCCUGUGUUAGUUCUCGUAAGUCUCAUAAACUGAAAAUGAUGUUUAUCUGUAAGAGUCUGCAGUAAGCAGUCUCAUGAAUACAACUUUAUAAAUGGUUUCUCUAGCAGCCAAGAGGAGGAACUUACUUUUUAUUAAAGGAAGUAAUCUGAGAGCAAUUCUCACAGCCAACCUUCUAAUGGAAAUCAAUUCUCAGUUCAGACAAUUCCACUUUUCUCUGUUUCAGGGUGGCAAAAUAACACACAAGCCAGACUCGCUUCUUGAUGAACUUCUCAAAUUUGAACACUCAUACUGAUAAAAUAAAUCUCUUCUCACUCCUUUGUCUCAGGGAACACACUGCCUACCCAAGUUAUCAAGAUCUCUUCCCUCGUUUGCCAAAAUGCUACUCCAGUUCCAACUCAGCUGUGACGUUUAUAAAGAAAUUCAUGUAGGUAAAGAGUAAUAAUUAAACCCAAGGAAGAGGAACUAGAAGGCUGUUGAUAUAGUUUCACUAAAAAGCUUUGAUAAUCUCAACUUGGAAUAAUUCCAAGAAAUGGUUUCAGCCCCUUUCUCCUUGCAAGUCACUUAAGGCUGUGCUCACUCUCCCCUGAGAGCACUGAAUAUUGCAACCACAGGCAGCACAAGAGCUGUCCCAACCUAGAAUCUAAUGUGAUUACACAUCAAAAAAC
Athene cunicularia (burrowing owl) is the source of this 1175-nucleotide long non-coding RNA. RefSeq lists it as uncharacterized. The record is from RefSeq and is a predicted model, not a curated record. The transcript is spliced from 3 exons. NCBI's taxonomy places the organism in Eukaryota, Metazoa, Chordata, Aves, Strigiformes, Strigidae.